UAUACCCUAUAAUGGCUAAUGGAGACUCUUCAUCGAUCAUUCAGUUGUCUGCUGCUGGUGGGAUGUGCGGCGGGUUAGGCUUUGGUUUGGGCUCCGGCUUGGGUUCAGGCUUUGGUUUUGGUUCAGGCUUAGGCUCCGGUUUGGGUUCUGGUUUCGGCUUGGGCUCGGGCUUUGGUUCAGGUUUAGGCUUAGGCUCAGGCUUAGGUAGUGGUUCGGGUUUUGGUUCCGGCUUCGGCUCAGGCUUAGGCUCGGGUUUUGGUUUGGGCUCGGGCUUAGGCUCUGGUUUGGGUAGUGGUUCUGGUUUUGGUUCUGGCUUGGGCUCGGGCUUAGGCUCUGGUUUGGGCAGUGGCUCUGGCUUUGGCUCUGGUUUUGGCAAUGGUUUGGGCUUUGGUUCCGGCUUGGGCUCAGGCUUAGGCUCUGGUUUUGGUAGUGGUUCAGGUUUUGGUUCCGGCUUGGGUUCAGGCUUAGGCUCGGGCUUUGGUUCCGGCUUGGGCUCAUGCUUAGGUUGCAGUGGUUCGGGUAUGGGUUCUGUGCUUGGGUUCAGGCUUAGUGCUCGGUGCUUUGGGUAUCGUGCUUGGGCUCAGGCUUAGGCUCCGGUAUCGGCAUCGGUUCGGGCUUUGGUUCUGGCUAGGGCUCAGGCUUAGGCUCAGGUUUUGGUUUUGGCAUGGGCUCAGGUUUUGGUUCAGGCUUAGGCUCCGGCUUAGGCUCAGGCUUAGGUUUUGGUUCUGGCUUGGGCUCCGGUUUUGGCAGUGGUUCAGGCUUGGGCUCAGGCUCGGGUUUUGGUUCAGGCUUAGGCUCAGGUUUUGGCUUUGGCUCAGGCUUUUUUGGCUUUGGCUUUGGUUCAGGCAUAGGCUUGGGCAUCGGUUCGGGUUUGGGCUUUGGCUCUGGCUUCGUUAUGGGUUUAGGUUGAGGCUCAGGUUUAGGUUCAG
This 929-nucleotide long non-coding RNA is filed under the name Sorghum bicolor (sorghum). RNAcentral describes it as "long non-coding RNA (SBIC_LNC013870)". The record is from RNAcentral. Lineage: Eukaryota; Viridiplantae; Streptophyta; Magnoliopsida; Poales; Poaceae.